RNAcentral lists this ribosomal RNA (253 nucleotides) under uncultured bacterium. Its description in RNAcentral is "partial 16S ribosomal RNA". It matches the Rfam family "Bacterial small subunit ribosomal RNA", at positions 524 to 776 of the family's 1533-position model. The record is from RNAcentral.
UACGUAGGGGGCAAGCGUUAUCCGGAUUCAUUGGGCGUAAAGAGCGCGUAGGCGGCUUGUUAAGUCAGAUGUGAAAACCGGGGGCUUAACCCGCGGCCUGCAUCUGAAACUGGCAGGCUUGAGUCUGGUAGAGGAAAGUGGAAUUCCCAGUGUAGCGGUGAAAUGCGCAGAUAUUGGGAGGAACACCAGUGGCGAAGGCGGCUUUCUGGGCCACGACUGACGCUGAGGAGCGAAAGCUAGGGGAGCGAACAGG